Salmo salar (Atlantic salmon) is the source of this 1119-nucleotide long non-coding RNA. RefSeq lists it as uncharacterized. NCBI's taxonomy places the organism in Eukaryota, Metazoa, Chordata, Actinopteri, Salmoniformes, Salmonidae. The record is from RefSeq and is a predicted model, not a curated record.
CUGAUCUACAUUGUAAAGUGAAGUUACAGGAAAUAGGUUGUUCAUUUUCAAGUUGGCCGGGACUAGAACGAUCUACAGCAUCAUGUGCAAACUUAUUUUUUUUAUCUUGUUGUUAAUCCAAGUUCCUGCAUCUGCUAGGGUGUGGGUGAACCAGUGGUCCUUGAAAAAUGCUUACAUAGUAGGUGAAACAGCAACUCUUUAUUGCAACAUUACCUCAGAUCAAGAGGAGAUAAAAUUUUGUGGAAUGAAAUGGGUCAUCAAAGAUCAAGGUGAUCUGCUAGAAGCAAAAUCCUAUAAGCAUCGUGUCAACAUGAGCUCCACCAACACUUUUGCUUCCAUAACAUUGAGAAACCUGACCUUAAAAGACACCAUGCCAACCUGCAUCGCACAGUGCCACAUUGACGGUGACUUUCAAAAUACUUUCGGGAAGGGUGGCAUACUUCACAUUUUUGAUGACAUCAGCCAGAUGACAACACUGGUCCCAACGGAAAUGAAGAAAGACUAUUCUCUCCCUUGGCUCAAUUACAUUUUUCUGAGCAUAAACAUCUUGAUUUUCUUUGUGGCCACAGUUAUUUGUGUGUCAUACUACCGAACCCAAAUGAAGAGGAAUUAAGAAAAGGAAAUGUAUAGUAUUAGCAGCCCUGUUCCAGUGUGCCCUGUCCCGGUGAAUUGAUGAUCGACAUUCAGUUUUUUAAAUCAGUGUUGACUGUAUAAGGUAUGUUUGUCUGCUGGUUAAUUUAAGAUAACUUUUUCUGGGCUAGAAUUCUAAGUAUUUAUGUCCAGUCACUAUCUGAACAGAUAGGUUUACGUUUUUGUAUUAAAUACAGUGUUUUGAUCUAUACAUUAAGGCAUAUUAUAUUGAUCUUUGUAUUGAAUUUGUUUGUUUGUUGCUGUUUUUUCUUAAUAUGAAACAAAAGUAUGCAUUAUGGCUAAAAUCAGUUCUGUCACUUUCCACGCAGUAAAAGUUGGUUGAUAAUGAAAUGUUGAUUGAAGUUGAAAGGGAAUUUAUAAAGUAUGCUAUCGCGGCCAUAAACUAUAGUAUGCUAUGUUCAAGUCGACUGACCUUUUAAUUUGUCUACAUAUAUUGUUUAAAUGUUUUCUGACAUGGGUUUCACCAGA